CCCGUCAAUUCUCGCGCUGCUACCCUGCUCGCGCAGCCACCAGCUGCGCCGAGCGCCGUCAUCCCCGCCACCAAGAUCUGCGCUAACCCCAGACCCAGCAAGCAGUCCCCAUGGGCAGGCGGCCGGCUAGGGUCGCCGGCGACUCGCGAGCGCGAGGGUGCCAGGCCGCCGCCGCUGACUGCGCGGCUAGUUCCUGCCUUCCCGGUGCGCCUGCAUCCGCCACCGCCGGGCGCGGAGCUCUCGCCGGCUCGCCCAUCGUCGCCUGUGACCUGUCUAGAGGUGUCUACCAAGUUGCAUGAUCGUACCUGCGGAGCUGCGAUUGCGUGCCCUUCGAAGCCCGACACGGCGUGGACUGCAAACAGCGGCGCUGACGGGAUUCUAAUUCAGAUAGAUUUGGGCGAGGAUAGCCCAAUCAUUUCGAUUCGUGCGCUUUAGGUUGUUGGGAUUCGAUCAUACAAUCGGGCCGCCCCGUCCGGCCAAGAAGAUUGGAUGCGCCGGCAGUUUCGUGACCCAUCUGUUCGGAUCAGCCCGCCAGGCACACGCACUCGCGUCUGCGAAUCCACUUCGGAAUCCGACUCCUCUUCCAUUGCAAAUUGCAACAUAGAUCGAGGUCCCAGAAAUUGAUCUCCAUUUACUCGGCUCCUAGUAGCAUUUUUAUUUUGGGUUCACUGAUGGAACUCUGAUACUGUUUAGGCUCCUUCUAAUUUUUAUGAGAUGGAUAUCAUCACUGAAUUGCUAGGUAGGGCAGUUUGUACUGAUCGAACUCUGGAAUGUUUCUUUGGCUGAGUUUGUAAAAGUGAAGACUAUCCAAUGGUGCAUUUAGGGCAGUUUGUGCAGAUUGCUUACAUCAACAUUUCAACCCUGCUAGCUGUACUGUGGCUGUGAUCACUGACAUGUUGUGUUGAGUAUAUCCCUAUCUAUUCUCUCAUGUCAGUUAAUUUUGCCCAGUUCAAUGGCUUCCUAAAAAUCUGAAAUGACUGCAGUGUAUGUUCUAAUCAUCUUCUUUCCUUGAAUUUGUAGAUGGAAAGAAUUUUGUAGAGCAGUGGCUACAAGCAGCGCCAUCGUCACCCAAGGCCGCGAGUACAGAUCUUGAGGAAAAGUAGGAAGGGAGCCGCAGCUUUAUCAUGGAUGUUUUACACUGGAAGGGGUGGCCGAUAAAAGAUUUACUGUAUCGUUUUUUUUUAGUGCUAGCAGUUUCUGUGUUCAUUUGUCUAAAAGAUGGCUGUAAACGGUCUAGCCUGAAUGUCUUUGGCGUAUCAUCUGUUUAGAUCUUUAUGAAUGGAUUGCAUAUUUGAGCACGACCUGUAUCUGGUUGGUUACAUAUGCAAGAUGUGAUAGCCUGAUAUGUGUUUAAUUUUAUAAUAAAUCUUCAAGAUAUGCUGAAA
Molecule: long non-coding RNA, 1385 nt
Organism: Panicum virgatum (switchgrass)
Lineage: Eukaryota; Viridiplantae; Streptophyta; Magnoliopsida; Poales; Poaceae
Exons: 2
Source: RefSeq, a predicted model, not a curated record